Drosophila melanogaster (fruit fly) is the source of this 76-nucleotide non-coding RNA. NCBI's taxonomy places the organism in Eukaryota, Metazoa, Arthropoda, Insecta, Diptera, Drosophilidae. The record is from Ensembl.
AGCUGCUCCGAAAAUAUCAUGAAUACGACAAUUAUGUGCACAUCAUUUAGUAUACGUGAUAUUUUAGGAGCAGCUA